CAGAGUUCUGAUUCUCUAACAAACCUUUCCAUGUUUGUCAUUCUUCUGUUUCUUUGUAAAGAAACAAGUCCCUCUGCAUUUAAAUCAUUGCUGACUUACAAGGUUAGGAAAUACUCCCUCUUGCCCUCUAAAAUUCAUCUUAAACAAAUCCAGCAAUCACAGUGCAGAGGAUUCUUUCCUUUGCAGUAAGUACAUUUCACAUCAAUACUUGUUCAUUAAUUAACACCACCAGGACUGUGUGGGAGAAAUGCUGUAAAACACCGGUUUCUGAGAAUGAGGGUAGAAAGAAAAGAAGCCAAAUAUAUGAAUUGAGCCUGAUGCUAUCUGUAAUCUGUCAGAGCAGCUGAAGGGAGUAGUGAAGGGCACGGGGCACAUUAAUGAAUGCCUGAGAAGCAGUGUGGGGACCUAUUCAUGGAUGAGGGCUACAGGAGGAAGACGAUGCAGACAGAUGGGAGGAAGUAAGAGUAACCACUACAGGCAAUUACAAGAUGUUGUAGAGUAGGAAGAGGUGGGAGGCGGGACAGGAAGAGGAAGGUAACGGUAAGCCUCAGACACAGCGUUUAAAGACUGAAUGACCACCCACAAAGAGGAGCAAUAAGCCAAGCAGGAUCACCGAUGUUGAUUUCCUUUAAGUCUGAAUAAGGAACUGCCACCAAUACACAAAGAGGAUUGACAAACAUUUAUUUUCCCUUCUCAUUUAACAGGUUCCAAUGAUGCUCUUACUCUGUGCCAGAAACUAUGGUGGACUAACAAACUAUGCUCAGCUGCAAUUGUAAUUUGGAGAGGAUUUCAUUCAAUGAUCAAAAGAACCACGCAUGCAUCCAUACCUUUGCCUGGAUCUCUCCCACUGUUAUAAUGAGCGCUCUGCACUACUUCCGUGUGAUGACAGAGCCUGCAUUUUGUGUUCACUACAACGUAACGCCAUUUAUUAAUAUACAGAAGAUUUACCCACAGAAAUGUGAUGCAGACCAUAUAUAUGCACAAAGAAGCAAGGGCAACGAUGAAAGAAGUGAAAAGAUGAAAAGGUGAAGAAGGAGUGCUGCCUGUGACAGUGCAUCUUCAGGCACCUUGAAGAAAAGGACUAAAGGACUAGGGGAAGUGGGAAGGGAGGGGGAAGAAAAGAAGGGAAAAGAAAAAAUACCAGAGAAGAAAAAAAUGGAAAUAAAGUCUUUGUAAAUAGUGAAGGGUGGAGGUGGUGAAGGGAGGACAGGGCUGUGGAGAAAAAAAAAGAACCAAGAUAUAUCGUGUACGAGAUCCCAAUGUUGAAUGUAACUGUACUGUAUACCUAAAAAGUACCAAUAAACUCAGUGAAAAAAAAGAGAAAGCUAUCAGACCAUUUUCAUAUGAGUCAUGUGAAAUCCUGAUGAUGACUCA
RNAcentral lists this long non-coding RNA (1374 nucleotides) under Fukomys damarensis (Damara mole-rat). Its description in RNAcentral is "lncRNA (ENSFDAG00000022563.1)". Lineage: Eukaryota; Metazoa; Chordata; Mammalia; Rodentia; Bathyergidae. The record is from RNAcentral.